CCGAGUUUACAACUCCCAAACCCCUGUGAACAUACCACUUGUUGCCUCGGCGGAUCAGCCCGCUCCCGGUAAAACGGGACGGCCCGCCAGAGGACCCCUAAACUCUGUUUCUAUAUGUAACUUCUGAGUAAAACCAUAAAUAAAUCA
RNAcentral lists this unclassified non-coding RNA (147 nucleotides) under Fusarium oxysporum. RNAcentral's name for it is "partial internal transcribed space 1". The record is from RNAcentral. RNAcentral also lists the same sequence under 2 other names. Lineage: Eukaryota; Fungi; Ascomycota; Sordariomycetes; Hypocreales; Nectriaceae.